Molecule: ribosomal RNA, 383 nt
Filed under: uncultured eukaryote
Lineage: Eukaryota
Description: partial 18S ribosomal RNA
Rfam family: Eukaryotic small subunit ribosomal RNA
Source: RNAcentral
CAAUAGCGUAUAUUAAAGUUGUUGCAGUUAAAAAGCUCGUAGUUGGAUUUCUGGUGGGAGCGAUCGGUCUGGCGCUUAGCGCGAGUACUUGCAUCGUCUCCGGCCAUCCUUGGGGAGAGUCUGUCUGGCAUUAGGUUGUCGGGCAGAGGAUCCUCAUCGUUUACUGUGAAAAAAUUAGAGUGUUCAAAGCAGGCUUAUGCCGUUGAAUAUAUUAGCAUGGAAUAAUAAGAUAGGACUUUGGUACUAUUUUGUUGGUUUGCGCACCAAAGUAAUGAUUAAUAGGGACAGUUGGGGGUAUUCGUAUUCCGCUGUCAGAGGUGAAAUUCUUGGAUUUACGGAAGACGAACUACUGCGAAAGCAUUUACCAAGGAUGUUUUCAUUAA